RNAcentral lists this long non-coding RNA (247 nucleotides) under Elaeis guineensis (African oil palm). RNAcentral describes it as "long non-coding RNA (EGUI_LNC057561)". Lineage: Eukaryota; Viridiplantae; Streptophyta; Magnoliopsida; Arecales; Arecaceae. The record is from RNAcentral.
GCUAAUUUGUGUAAAAGUUUUGGAGGGAUCACAAAGCUUAGGAAAGGUUGAUCCGAGCCUUAAAUUGGAGUAUAUUGGGUUAGCUUAUAUCCGAAAAAUAAGUGCCUAGCUUGAAAAAAUUAGGAUCGAUAGAAUCCGACAUUGUAAUCAUUGUGUACGAUUAAUAGAUUUAAAUUUUCAAGUAGAAGUUUGGAGAGUAGAUGUAAGAUUGACACCGAACCACUAUAAGCCCUCAUUAUUUAUGAUG